RNAcentral lists this long non-coding RNA (869 nucleotides) under Vulpes vulpes (red fox). RNAcentral describes it as "lncRNA (ENSVVUG00000011867.1)". Lineage: Eukaryota; Metazoa; Chordata; Mammalia; Carnivora; Canidae. The record is from RNAcentral.
CGUGCUAACUACAUACAUGUAGGUUCUGAGGAGCUCUCGCCCUUCUCCUCACAGGCGUCAUUUCACUCAUCCUCGUGGUCGUGCGUGGGCAGGGUGAAACAUGAGUGGCCGUGUGAGAUCCAGAUCCAGAUCCAGAUCCAAACAAGGAAGAGAGGAUCGAGGAUCUGCCCAGCCAGCUGCGGGUGUGGUUACACCGCCCCCCACACAGGCCGAGCAGCUGAAACCAAAGGAGAAACCAACUAAGACUCAGGAUAUUAUACCUGAUCAAGGGAAGGAAGUUGAAGGAGCACCUGUUAUUCAAGGGCCUGAAAUGAAAUCUGAACUACAGGAAGUGGCUCAGCCAAUGACUGGGGAUAAAGCGAAGAUGGUCCUGAUGUGAAAGGGCUGAAAACUCCAAACCUAGAGCCCAUUAAAAUGCCAGAAGCAGGUAUGUGAUCCAUUAUGAACGUUAAAAGUAUGUGGUUUCUGUUUUCUUCAGUAUUACAUCUUUCAUAAUAUAAGUGUAAUAUUACUAUUACUUUCAUAAUAGAAUUCACCUAUAAGGAUACUUUGACAGGUAGUUUAGAACCUAAAUGCCUGACUCCCUGACUUAUUAGACAGUCAGGUAUAGAAACAAAUUGGGUCAAAUCGUGUUGAAUUAUAAAGACAAAGACAGUUGUAUCUGAGUGGUUCUGUUGGCUAAAUAUCCCACUCUUUAUUUUGGCCCAUUUCAUGAUUUCAGGGUAAUGAGAUAGAGUCCCACGUCAGACUCUGUGCUCAGUGCAGAGACUGCUUGGGAUUCUCUCUCUCCCUUGGCUCCACCCUUCCUAGUGUGCUCACUCAUUCUAUCUAUAAAUAAAUUUAAAAAAUCUUUUUGAAAAAAGGUGAAA